This 253-nucleotide ribosomal RNA is filed under the name uncultured bacterium. RNAcentral's name for it is "partial 16S ribosomal RNA". It matches the Rfam family "Bacterial small subunit ribosomal RNA", at positions 524 to 776 of the family's 1533-position model. The record is from RNAcentral.
UACGGAGGGGACUAGCGUUGUUCGGAAUUACUGGGCGUAAAGCGCACGUAGGCGGAUUUGUAAGUCAGGGGUGAAAUCCCGGGGCUCAACCUCGGAACUGCCUUUGAUACUGAUAGUCUCGAGUCCGGAAGAGGUGAGUGGAAUUCCGAGUGUAGAGGUGAAAUUCGUAGAUAUUCGGAGGAACACCAGUGGCGAAGGCGGCUCACUGGUCCGGUACUGACGCUGAGGUGCGAAAGCGUGGGGAGCAAACAGG